GCCAAGCGCAGUGGCGCACGCCUGUAAUCCCAGCAGCUCAGGAGGCUGAGACAGGAGGAUCGGUGAAUUCAAAGCCAGCCUCAGCAAAACUGAGGUGCUAAGCAACUCAGUGAGACCCUGUCUCUA
RNAcentral lists this small RNA (126 nucleotides) under Marmota monax (woodchuck). The record is from RNAcentral. Lineage: Eukaryota; Metazoa; Chordata; Mammalia; Rodentia; Sciuridae.